AGUCUAAAACGGGCGAAGUGAGUAGCACAUAGCAGACCCGAAACCGAGUGAUCUACCCAUGGUCAGGUUGAAGCUCGUUUAACCGCGAGUGGAGGACCGAACUAAUGUCAGUUGAAAAUGGCUUGGAUGAACUGUGGGUAGCAGGUGAAAUGCCAAUCGAACACGGAGAUAGCUGGUUCUCUCCGAAAUGCAUUUAGGUGCAGCGUUACGUGUUCUGUUCCGGAGGUAGAGCACUGGAUGGUCUAGGGGCCCUACCAGGUUACCAAAAUCAACCAAACUCCGAAUGCCGGGACAUAAGAGCGUAGCAGUGAGACUGCGGGAGAUAAGUUUCGUAGUCAAAAGGGAAACAGCCCAGACCAACAGCUAAGGUCCCUAAGUAUUGGCUAAGUGUAAAAGGAUGUGAGAUUGCAUAGACAACCAGGAUGUUGGCUUAGAAGCAGCCACCGUCUAAGAAGUGCGUAACAGCUUACUGGUCGAAUGUGAUUUUGCGCCGAUAAUGUAAGGGGGCUCAAGCCAAUCACCGAAGCUUUGGAUUGUCACGAAAGUGGCAGUGGUAGGAGAGCGUUGAAUGCGGGUUGAAGUCAUAGCGUAAGCAGUGGUGGACUGCAUUCAAGUGAGGAUGCCGGAAUGAGUAGCGAAAAGAGAUGUGAGAAUCAUCUCCGCCGAAAGCCUAAGGGUUCUUAAGGAAGGAUCGUCCUCUUGAGUUUAGUCGGGCCUAAGGCGAGGCCGAAUGGCGUAGUCGAUGGACACAAGGUGUAUAUUCCUUGACCAGUGGCCAGUGUUUGAGCGAUGGGGUGACGCAGCGUAGUGGGACCAUGCACGGGAUUGGUUGUCCGUGUUCAGGUGUAGGGAUUGUCCGGUAGGUAAGUCCGCCGGGCGCUAGAUUUCGGCACUUGACGAGUGGAUCAGAGAUGUGAAGCGAAGUGGUUUUUCACGCUGCCAAGAAAACCCCCUAGUUAGCUGGUUGCUGCCCGUACCGCAAACCGACACAGGUAGGCAGGUAGAGGAUACUAAGGCGUGCGAGAUAACCAUCGUUAAGGAACUAGGCAAUCUAACCCCGUAACUUCGGGAGAAGGGGUGCCCUGGGUGGAUGCUGCUGUAACGCAGUUAUUUACUUGGGGUCGCAGUGACAAGGCUCGAGCGACUGUUUAACAAAAACACAGGUCUCUGCUAAGCCGAAAGGCGACGUAUAGGGGCUGACACCUGCCCAAUGCCAGAAGGUUAACAGGAGAGCUUAGGCGCAAGCCGAAGGUUUGAAUCGAAGCCCUGGUGAAUGGCGGCCGUAACUAUAACGGUCCUAAGGUAGCGAAAUUCCUUGUCGGGUAAGUUCCGACCUGCACGAAAGGUGUAACGACUUGAGCGCUGUCUCAACGAUGGACUCGGCGAAGUUGUAGCAUGCGUGAAGAUGCGCAUUACCCGCAUCAGGACGGAAAGACCCCGUGGAGCUUUACUACACCUUGAUAUUGGGUUUUGGUUUAGCAUGUAGAGAAUAGGUGGGAGCCGCAAGGCAGCAGUGGAAUACCACCCUUGUUAAGCUGGAAUUCUAACUAGUGUUCGUUAUCCGGGCAUAGGACAGUAUCAGGCGGGUAGUUUGACUGGGGCGGUCGCCUCCCAAAAUGUAACGGAGGCGUCCAAAGGAUCGCUCAGGCUGGUUGGAAAUCAGCCGUUAGAGUAUAAAGGCAUAAGCGAUCUUGACUGCGAGAGCGACGGCUCGAGCAGGUGGGAAACCAGGGCUUAAUGACCCUCUGGCACAGUGUGGAAUGGCCAGGGUUCAUCGGAUAAAAGUUACCCCGGGGAUAACAGGCUUAUCUUGCCCAAGCGCUCACAGCGACGGCAAGGUUUGGCACCUCGAUGUCGGCUCGUCGCAUCCUGGGGCUGGAGUCGGUCCCAAGGGUUGGGCUGUUCGCCCAUUAAAGCGGUACGCGAGCUGGGUUCAGA
This 1938-nucleotide ribosomal RNA is filed under the name activated sludge metagenome. Its description in RNAcentral is "bacterial LSU rRNA". It matches the Rfam family "Bacterial large subunit ribosomal RNA", at positions 680 to 2615 of the family's 2925-position model. The record is from RNAcentral.